This 279-nucleotide ribosomal RNA is filed under the name uncultured Rhodospirillaceae bacterium. Its description in RNAcentral is "partial 16S ribosomal RNA". It matches the Rfam family "Bacterial small subunit ribosomal RNA", at positions 54 to 353 of the family's 1533-position model. Lineage: Bacteria; Pseudomonadati; Pseudomonadota; Alphaproteobacteria; Rhodospirillales; Rhodospirillaceae. The record is from RNAcentral.
GGCUACCAUGCAAGUCGAACGGAUCCUUCGGGAUUUGUGGCGCACGGGUGAGUAACGCGUGGAUAUCUACCUCGGGAUGGGGAAUAACCAUUGGAAACGGUGGCUAAUACCUCAUACGCCUUAAACGGGAAAGCUUUAUGCGUCCUGAAUGGUCUCCGCGUUAGAUUAGAUUGUUGGUGGGGUAAUGGCCUACCAGGUCUACGAUCUCUAGGGGGUCUGACGAGGAUGAUCAGCCACACUGGGACUGACCCGAGUGGGACACUCCCACGGGAGGCACCA